UCUCGGUUCGGGCCGCCUGCUUGGGCGUCAUGGCAUCGUCGCCUUUGCUCCUUGCUU
This 57-nucleotide ribosomal RNA is filed under the name Amomum aff. repoeense KH-2018. RNAcentral's name for it is "5.8S ribosomal RNA". Lineage: Eukaryota; Viridiplantae; Streptophyta; Magnoliopsida; Zingiberales; Zingiberaceae. The record is from RNAcentral.